Molecule: long non-coding RNA, 998 nt
Organism: Macaca mulatta (Rhesus monkey)
Lineage: Eukaryota; Metazoa; Chordata; Mammalia; Primates; Cercopithecidae
Source: Ensembl
AGGUACUCAAUGGCAAGUCCUCUUUUUGGAAUAAAGUUCUGCUAAGGUGCAUUAAGGUGAAUUCCUAAAUAGAAGCCACAGUUUCCUCUUUGAAUAUUUCCUCAGUUCCUUGCAGAGAGGAGUGUAAGUCAGCACAGUUAGGAAUCUUUAUCGCUGCUGCUGCCUUCUCUCUCUGAUGACUCUGUUCUCUUGCAGCCCUCUUCUGAGUAGAGUAGAGGAAAUUACGAGGCCUUGGUUGAAACUGAUUAAUAUCUCUUUUACUUCCUCAGUGGUAGACAGCAGCUAUUGCUAGGUAGUACAAUGGAGGAGAGGCAGUGGGGAAGCAGAACCUGUGGCGGAAGAAUGAGGCAUGAGCCUGAGAGGCAGCGCUUGUGCUGGGAAGAAAUUGCCCUGCCCUGAAAGCAGUACUGAUAUAAGAGAGAGGACCCAAAGUUUAACUCUAUCCAGAUGAGAACCUAGCAAAUGUCAUGCAUGAGGUGUUUAAUAUAUCAGAUCCAGUGACGGUGAGGUCAGAAGUGGUCCAGCUGAACUUGAGAGUGAUCAGACCAUGAUUUGCAUCACAGGGCCUUGUCCACAGAAGAACUGGGACAGGCUUGCCUGAAAUCCACCGGAUACCAACAAGCCUUCUAGAAAAGUGACACAAGUAGUUUUAAAAUAAUGGAGCAAAAAGAUCCUGAUGACAGGCUGUGUCUUGCUAGAUGGGAGUCAGAACUGAAACCAAAGAAACCAGAUUCUGUUGUUCUUGCAUUUGUACAAAUCUUCUGUGCCUUAAAGGUAAAGGCAUUAACUUCUGACUCACUCUUUCUUAGUAGUCCACCUUUUAACAAUGUCCUUAUCAAAUGAAGCAGAUGCAAUUUUGGUGGUGACUGCCAGAAAGCUCUUGAGAGAGUAAAAAUAGAUCAUGUCCUUUUCCCAAAGGAAGUAGUUGUAUGAUUUAUAGAACUGUGUUUCUAUUUGUGAAAUUUAAUUCUAAAGAAUACUUUUCAACUAUAUAUUUA